RNAcentral lists this ribosomal RNA (256 nucleotides) under uncultured bacterium. Its description in RNAcentral is "partial 16S ribosomal RNA". It matches the Rfam family "Bacterial small subunit ribosomal RNA", at positions 524 to 776 of the family's 1533-position model. The record is from RNAcentral.
UACGUAGGGGGCAAGCGUUGUCCGGAAUCAUUGGGCGUAAAGAGCGCGUAGGCGGUCCGAUAAGUCGGUUGUGAAAAACUGGGGGGCUCAACCCUCAGAGGCCGACCGAUACUGUCGGGCUAGAGUCCGGAAGAGGCGAGUGGAAUUCCUGGUGUAGCGGUGAAAUGCGCAGAUAUCAGGAGGAACACCAAUGGCGAAGGCAGCUCGCUGGGACGGUACUGACGCUGAGGCGCGAAAGCGUGGGGGAGCAAACAGG